RNAcentral lists this ribosomal RNA (290 nucleotides) under uncultured bacterium. RNAcentral's name for it is "partial 16S ribosomal RNA". It matches the Rfam family "Bacterial small subunit ribosomal RNA", at positions 28 to 318 of the family's 1533-position model. The record is from RNAcentral.
GAUGAACGCUAGCGGCAGGCCUAAUACAUGCAAGUCGGACGGGAUUGGGGAGCUUGCUCCCCAUGAGAGUGGCGCACGGGUGCGUAACACGUAUGUAACCUACCCUUGUCAGGGGGAUAGCCUCUCGAAAGAGAGAUUAAGACCGCAUAACAUUACAAUGUGGCAUCACAAAGUAAUCAAAUAUUUAUAGGACAAGGAUGGGCAUGCGGAACAUUAGCAGUUGGUAAGGUAACGGCUUACCAAGGCUACGAUGUUUAGGGGAUCUGAGAGGAUGACCCCCCACACUGGUA